GAGUUUGAUCUUGGCUCAGAUUGAACGCUGGCGGCAUGCCUUACACAUGCAAGUCGAACGGCAGCACGGGAGCUUGCUCCUGGUGGCGAGUGGCGAACGGGUGAGUAAUGCAUCGGAACGUAUCCUGGAGUGGGGGAUAACGUAGCGAAAGUUACGCUAAUACCGCAUAUUCUGUGAGCAGGAAAGCGGGGGACCCUCGGGCCUCGCGCUCUUGGAGCGGCCGAUGUCGGAUUAGCUAGUUGGUGAGGUAAAGGCUCACCAAGGCGACGAUCCGUAGCAGGUCUGAGAGGAUGAUCUGCCACACUGGAACUGAGACACGGUCCAGACUCCUACGGGAGGCAGCAGUGGGGAAUUUUGGACAAUGGGGGCAACCCUGAUCCAGCCAUGCUGCGUGAGUGAAGAAGGCC
Molecule: ribosomal RNA, 407 nt
Filed under: bacterium enrichment culture clone ALO1_GLFRUDD03FMIY8
Lineage: Bacteria
Description: bacterial SSU rRNA
Rfam family: Bacterial small subunit ribosomal RNA
Source: RNAcentral